CCCAUAACAGCACCUUGACCCCAUUCAUGGCACCUAUGGGGUGCUGGACCCCAAAACGGCACCUGGACCCCAUUCAUGGCAUCUAUGGGGUGCGGGACCCCAUAACAGCACCUCGACCCCAUUAUGAGGUGUGGGACCCCAUAACAGCACCUCGACCCCAUUAUGGGGUGUGGGACCCCAUAACGGCACCUCGACCCCAUUCAGCACCUAUGGGGUGCGGGACCCCAUAACAGCACCUCGACCCCAUUCAUGGCACCUAUGGGGGUGCGGGACCCCAAAACGGAGCCCCCACCCCAUUCAUGACACCUAUGGGGUGCAGGACCCCAUAACAGCACCUCGACCCCAUUCAUGGCACCUAUGGGAUGCGAGACCCCAAAAAGGCACCUCGACCCCAUUAUGGGGUGUGGGAACCCAUAACAGCACCUCGACCCCAUUCAUGGCACCUAUGGGGUGCUGGACCCCAAAACGGAGCCCCCACCCCAUUCAUGGCACCUAUGGGGGUGCGGGACCCCAAAAAGGCACCUCGACCCCAUUAUGGGGUGUGGGACCCCAUACCAGCACCUCGACCCCA
Molecule: long non-coding RNA, 571 nt
Filed under: Phasianus colchicus (ring-necked pheasant)
Lineage: Eukaryota; Metazoa; Chordata; Aves; Galliformes; Phasianidae
Description: lncRNA (ENSPCLG00000017026.1)
Source: RNAcentral